GAUGAACGCUAGCGGCAGGCCUAACACAUGCAAGUCGAGGGGCAGCACGUCUUCGGAUGGUGGCGACCGGCGCACGGGUGCGUAACGCGUAUGCAACCUACCUCUUACAGUGGGAUAGCCCAGAGAAAUUUGGAUUAAUACCGCAUAGUGUACAGAUUCAGCAUUGGGACUGUAUUAAACAUUUAUGGGUAAGAGAUGGGCAUGCGUUCUAUUAGUUAGUUGGAGUGGUAACGGCACCCCAAGACAGCGAUAGAUAGGGGCCCUGAGAGGGGGAUCCCCCACACUGGUACUGAGACACGGACCAGACUCCUACGGGAGGCAGCAGUGAGGAAUAUUGGACAAUGGGCGAGAGCCUGAUCCAGCCAUGCCGCGUGCAGGAAGACGGCCCUAU
RNAcentral lists this ribosomal RNA (391 nucleotides) under uncultured bacterium. RNAcentral's name for it is "bacterial SSU rRNA". It matches the Rfam family "Bacterial small subunit ribosomal RNA", at positions 28 to 420 of the family's 1533-position model. The record is from RNAcentral.